CAAUCAAUAAAAUAAAAUUCUUUGUUAUAUAUAGAAUAAAUAAACUAUAUAGAUUUGAGGAAGAUAAUUCUUUUAGAACAAAAUUGAGGAAAUAAGCAAUAAGAAAAUUUAUAUAAAUCAUAAGCAUUGUUAUUGUAUUAUCGUCAAAAAGUAUUAAAAAUCUAUUUGUUAUUCCGAUAGAGGAGGCAAUUAACUUCUUAAAGACUUGAAAUAAUAUUGUUUUGAUGUCACUAAUGUUUUUUAAAAGAAAACCGUUUUCGCUAAAUUAUUAGUGUGCAGAAAAUAUCUUUUAUUUUAUUUGCUGAAUCUCUUUGGUGAUGUAAUUUAUUUAGAACUAAUAUUAAGAAAAUAAAAUAUUAAAAAUAAAGCUUAAAUUUAAAAAUGAGUAAUAAAGCUUUAGGAUACUGAGAAUUAUAUCAUGGGAUUCAGUAGUCCAUUUAAAUAUGCCAAAAGCAGAGAGUUACCAAUAAUAUAAUCUUAAUUUCGUAUUCAUGGUUUAUAUAUUUUUCAAGGAAUCUCUAAAUAUAUUCAUCAAAGUAACUUUUUAUUGUACUCUCUCAAAAAAAACUAAAUUUUAUUGUAAAUCAAAAUGUUUUGAAGCCUUUUAUGAAAAAAAUGGUUAAGAAUUUGUUUCUAGUCGUAUAAUUCUCAUCAAAUAAAAUAAUUAAAAAGGAAUAUUGAGCAUUUGUUUGAGUUGAGUUGAGUGUUUACUACCCUCUUAAGAAAAUCAUUGAGGGAGAAAUAUAGAUAGGAUAAUUCUUUCAAAUAGCCAUUUUUUUAAUUUUUGUCACAAAAAAAUAGCUUUCGAAAAAAGAAAAUGAUCAACAUAGCCCAUUUUUAUUUUGAAAAUUUUAAUAUUUACUUUUUGUUUUUUAAAAUUUUAAACCAUAUCCCCAAACCUGCACUAUUUAACUCUAAACCCUAAAUUUAGAUUAGUCAACCCUAGAAAUACAUUUUUAUCUUUUAAUAAAAUUUAUUUUGAUCAUUUUCUUCGCUGAGGAUUAUUUUUGUGAUAAAAACUUUAAAAUGGUAUCUUAAAAAAUUUCUCGUAUAGAUAUAUCAACUUGCAGUUGCUCAAAAAAAAAAUAUCAACUUGCCACGUUUUCCCGAAUGAUUGACUUGAAAUUUAUAACACAUGAUGCAUACUUUUCUUUUAAAAUGGCCAAGCUUCGUAUUAGAAAAAAAAACGACUUUCUUAUUUUGACAUUGGGAAACAAAAUCACCGGCCCACUGUCCGCGUUUGCUGUUGACUGCAAACUAAAUCAACGGAACUUUACAAGUUAAGAAACAACAAUCAUUUUAGAGUGAACGCUGCAGCUAUAUGAAAAGUUUGCAUGUUGCAAGGAACGGAGACUGGGAUCAAUCGCAGAUCGCAGAUUAUUGUUAAAGCUUCAGCCAUCAACGCUGAGCUUACAUGAUCCGAUGCAAGCAACCCUUGAUGAUCCAUGGAGGUUGCAUGAUCCCUAAAAAUCCCAGACAGUCCAGCCUGAUUGGAGGCUAUAUCCCACGCUGCAUCUGUGAAGCACAAGAUAAGAUCUGAGAUUUAUGUUUCUUGCCUCCGUUGAUUAAUCCUUCUUUUAGCUGGUUGUGGUUGUUUGACUAUAUAUGUUUCUUUGUGCUGCUGUGCAUGAAUCCAUUCUCUUGCUGUUUUGAGCGCUCUCGAUGCCACUUCUGCCUAUGAGCUGAGUUUCUUCUCUUUUUUUUGGAGAAUAAUGUCCGGAAGUAUAAAGUAGCAUACUACCGAAGAAGAAAGGGAAAAGAGAUAGCAGAGGAGGAUGACGUGGCAAGUACGGUUGCUGAUUCAAAUGAAGAGGGUGGAAGCGGAGCUUCUGUCUGAGAGAGAGAGUUUGCAGUUAGCUCAAGUGAGAGUGAAGUGAGCUAUAUAAAGGAUGAGGAGAUUGAGUAGAAAGUUUAUGCUUGAUGUUGUUUGUAAUUGACGUUAUGAGUCUUUACACCUCAGUCGUUAUGAGACUGAUGAAUCUGAUCUGAGUUCGUUAUGAGAGCUUCGAUCGAUUCAUACUCGAGCUGUACUUUCCAUUCAUAUUGAUAAUAAAGAGUGUUUACGUUGUUA
This is a long non-coding RNA of Brassica napus (rape), 2071 nucleotides long. RefSeq lists it as uncharacterized. The record is from RefSeq and is a predicted model, not a curated record. Lineage: Eukaryota; Viridiplantae; Streptophyta; Magnoliopsida; Brassicales; Brassicaceae. The transcript is spliced from 2 exons.